UCGAGAAUAUUCGACAAUGGGCGAAAGCCUGAUCGAGCGACGCCGCGUGCAGGAUGAAGGGCUUCGGCCUGUAAACUGCGGUAGUAGGGUAAGAAUGCAAAUGACUGCCCUACGGAAAGAGGUGGGUAACUACGUGCCAGCACCAGCGGUAAUACGUAGACCUCAAGCGUUAUCCGGAUUUAUUGGGCGUAAAGCGCGUGUAGGAGGCGCGGUGCGUCUCUGGUUAAAGCCCACUGCCUAACGGUGGAAAUGCCAGGGAUACGGCCGCGCUAGAGGAGGUUAGAGGUGCAUGGAACCCACGGUGUAGGGGUGAAAUCCGUUGAUAUCGUGGGGAACACCGAAGGCGAAGGCAGUGCACUGGGGCCUUCCUGACUCUGAGACGCGAAAGCGUGGGGAGCAAAAAGGAUUAGAUACCCCCGUAGUCCCUGAGCGGGCUGGCAAGGCGCAU
This 448-nucleotide ribosomal RNA is filed under the name uncultured bacterium. RNAcentral describes it as "bacterial SSU rRNA". It matches the Rfam family "Bacterial small subunit ribosomal RNA", at positions 355 to 825 of the family's 1533-position model. The record is from RNAcentral.